Molecule: small nucleolar RNA, 156 nt
Organism: Polypterus senegalus (gray bichir)
Lineage: Eukaryota; Metazoa; Chordata; Cladistia; Polypteriformes; Polypteridae
Product: small nucleolar RNA U109
Exons: 1
Source: RefSeq, a predicted model, not a curated record
CUGCUUGUGGCAUAUCAUGUAGGAUUGAACGUUUUUGUUUCUUUAUCUGUACCUAUCCCAGGUGUUGGAUGUCUGUAUCACAUGCUAGACUAAUGAGUUUAAUGGGCCACUAGUCUUCUAGUACAGGCUGAGUGGUAGUGUCAUCCUCCUACAUUC